Molecule: long non-coding RNA, 5307 nt
Organism: Macrobrachium nipponense
Lineage: Eukaryota; Metazoa; Arthropoda; Malacostraca; Decapoda; Palaemonidae
Exons: 2
Source: RefSeq, a predicted model, not a curated record
UUCUGCUAGCAGCGUCAGGAAUUGGCCGGUUUGUGGGACAAGGAUGAAUAGCAGGGAGUAUGAACCCCAUGACAUUUGUAACUCUGGUUGUGGACAGAGGUGAAAAUGGGCCAGGGUGUUGGGUAUUUCGACCAGUAGACGGAACAACAAAGAAGUGCUCCUUUCAGUGGCUCCUAGAUACAGACUUGAAAGGCUGGAUUCCUCAGUAUGUCAUUGAUCAAGCUCUUACUCAUGCCAUGGUAGAUUUUAUAAAUUGCAUUAGAAAUUAUGCUCCAGUAAUCAAGGGAAAAUCCUCAGAAAAGUGCGGCUUUAGGUAGUGUGAACCUACCUUUGUACAAGGUGAGAGCUUGACUGUCAUUUGUUAUUUGAGUUGAUGUAAUACACAUGAAUCAGUGUAUUAACAUAUUGAGAGAGAGACCUCAUGAUGUUGGAAACGCAAUCAUUUUUAGGUCCAUUGAGUAUGAUUUAUAGUAUUAUAUGCAAAUCAGAGAAGCUUUCACAGUACUGUUUAAUACAGUAAUUAGAAUUAUGAGUAAGUGCUGCUGUAUUGGAGAAGCUGUAAUUCAUUUUUGUUUGAAGAUUGAAAGCCCAUUUGUAAAGGCAGUGUCACAUGGACAGUUUUUUAUACACCAUCUUCCAAUAUCUUGGCACCAAUAAGAGCCCAAAGGUGUGUAUGUUGCCACAAAGGCAGGUAAGUAUCCUACUAGGCAAUACACGUCAUGAUGUAAAAAUGUCUUGUUUGAUCAUUUUGCAAGUGCGAAUUGCCAUCUUAUCCAUUUGGCUAAAAACAACUGUUUCCCACAUUUUGUAGACUUGGCCAAAUGCUAAAACUUAAAUUAUUGUUUUGCAACAAAGUCAUUAAAAAGAUCAUUUGAUCUUAAAAAUUUUCAUACAGUAACACUGCUAAUAUUAAUUAACUAUGUUUGUAUUGUGCUAAAUUGAAUUUUAAUGUUGACUUUGAACAUACUGGAUUAGCCAUUCUUCCUGCACAAACAAAGGUCCCAGUCUUUGGCCCCAAGAUGAUAAGUAUACAAGAGACUUCAGUUUUGCCAUCACCAAUGGCUGUUACAUAAAAACUCAGGUGGCAAGAUGCAAAAUUAUGCUAGAAACUGGCCAUGUUGCAGUGCCUUAAAGAUAGAAAUGGAGCUUGGUUGAUAUUAAUUUUAUGUUCAUACAGUGCUAUCUUCAGUGUGAUUACAAUUAAAGCAUAGUUUCACUGAAGGUCUCUGUGACAGAGCUGUGAUUAUACCUGUUAUUCAUACCUUCCUUUUACCUUAUGCAUUAUAUUUGAUAUGCAGAUUUUUUGUUUGUGUAGAUACAUUUAUUUACAUUCCCAUUGCUCCCAUUACAUUAUGGUGGCAUUUUUUAUGGACCCUCCAAAUGGGAAAUGUAUAACCUUUUAUAAAUAUUGCAGUUGAGUAAUUUGUUCAUAUUUCUGUAUAAAUUUUGUAAUAUUUGUUGAUAAAUUUCUACCUCUCACUAUCUGUGUGUUUAUGUUUUGAGUGUUUGGAUAUUCUGUAGGUUUGUGAAUUGAAAAGACAGUGCCUGUAUGAUAAUCAUUGGUGCCAGCUGAAGGUUGUACUAUGUUGUUUUUCAUUUGAGUUUGAAAAUUUUUGAUUUUUUAUAUUGUAAUAUUAAAAGGCUAAAUGGUGAUUCACAUUCAUUGUAUAAAGUUGAUUGGCAGGCCCCAUCUUCUGUAGGCAUUUAGUUUACUUUGAACUCAUCUACAUUCAGCUGUCCUUUAAUAUUUACUACUUUGAAUCCAUCUACGUUCAGAUUCUUGAAUGUAAAUAUUAAAAUUGUUGGUAUUUGUCUUUGUAGGUUGCCUCAUUAUUGAGGCAGAAUUAGCCCUAUCUUUUAUACAAAACCAAAACUGCAAAGUUUGCUCUCUGGUAUAAUCUAAGACACUUAUUGCUUUUGUAGCAUACUGUAUUGAAGAUGUUACGUAUAGUAUUCAGGAAUACCGUGUGUUACAAUCAAGGAAACAUUUAGUAGGUUAAGCACUCCUUGUCAUGAGUAUCAUGUUUAUGAUAGAUCCUUACUGCCACAUUCAUUCCUUCUCUUUCGUGUGAUUGACGUAUGCCAUACAGCAUAAUUUGGAUGAACCCACAUAAUUUUUACAAUUCAAUUCUAGUCCCUUUUAUGCCGUAUAAUGUGGACUUCACACUACAACCUUUUUGGCCUUCUGCCAUAGAUAAAUCAUUAUUUGAAUUCUAAAUGAUUGAUUAUAUCUCCUCUUAAGGGGUAGAAAGCAAAAAAUUAAAUGGUUCUUUUACUGUUUUUAGUGAAGAAAAAUAUUUCGUGAAAACCAGGAGAAAAGUAACUUUUGUAUUUAUAGUUUAAUUAAGAAAUUCUUCCAUGGCUAUUGGUAGAAGGUAUAGUAGAGCAGGUCAUCCAUGAAGUUGGUUUGUAUGAAUUUAGGAAAAAUGUUGAAAUCUGCAUUAAGGAAUUCCUGUCUGCUUUAAAGUAACGUUUGAUCUGUCAUACAUUAAAAAAGGUUUUCUGGUCAAAGAAAUGUUGAGUGAAAACAGAUGAAUGUACUUGAUGUUUGUGUUCCCACACAUUUUAAAGGGUAUAUCCUUCUCAACAUUACCUGUAUCCAACCCUAAUGCAGUGCAUACUGUAUCCAAUCUGAAGCUCUGCUGCUUUUUAUUAGAUACCACAAUAUAUAUUUUUAAUUGCUAAAGUGCUUGUUAUUUUUAAUUAUGUAACUUACCCAGUAAUUACAUAGCUAUAAGUUCCACUUAUUCGGCAGCUUAAAUGAAAAAUGUCGUGGAUAACACUUCCACUAUUGUGUAGGUGACCAGUCCCGCCCACUAGCGGGAGAAUAGGAACGACUGUGAGUAGCAAGCUCAGUUUUGUUCCUGCUGUCGUAUGGGAAAAACACCUUUGAUGGCGACAGCUUGUUCAAUAUUUUUCUGUUAUUUAACUGGGUUUCAGUAGUGUGCAUUCCCACUUGAAUGCAUAUUUAGUAACCUUCAAUGAAGUCUCAGGAUGAGUUUUUACUUGUUUUGUUAUCAUUCAGUUGUUUCAUCAACUGGCCUUUGUUUACGCUUAAAAGUUAUCAGUGUAUGUUACAUCAUUCCUCUGGGCUAAACUUUGUAUUGUUUUUCCAUUUAUUUCGAUGGAACACACUAGUGCCUUGUACCGUCUGAUGCAGAGGCUUCAGUGGUGUGGGCGUCAAAUCUCCCACAAGCACCAGAGCAUCCAUGAGUACUCAUAAGUAGUGUCCAUGAGCGCCCAGGACCAUCCAUAAGCACUCAAGAGUGUUCAUUAGUGCUCAAAAGCAUCCAAUGGCGCCCAGGAGUUGUACAUAAGCUCCCAAAAGUGUCCAUGAUUGCCCAUGGUCAAUAUCAUUUGCCUAAAUUGAAGAUCAUACAAGAAGAAAAUAGACUCCUUCGCUGGACGAAUGUGAGGCUGACAAGAAAACACUUAAAAACAAUUAUAAAAUAUAAAAAACACCUUAUUUUAAAAAACUAUAAGAACCUCUGGAGGGAUUCAACCCUGUGGAGGGCUGUACAUGAACCAAAUAAAGGGUAUAGUCAGCACACAUUAUUUUCUCAACUACUACUAGCCAUAUAAUGUUAUCCACUUGCUUCCCACUGGGCUUCCUCGCUUCUUCCCAUGCCAUUGUCAGUUUUGUGGCAGAGUUAGAAAUGUUAACCCUGUGAUAUUGAAGUGUUGUGCAGUGGAGGUGGCUAUUCAUCCCUCGAUUCUCCUAGACAAAAGGUCCUUGUCAGACUCCCAUGCACCUGGAAGUCCAAGGGAGGUCAAGGGGUGAUACACAUGAUUAGUCACUCCUUCAGAUAAACCUGUUGCUGGUCCCAGUUAUUGACAGACAGCCAUAGGAAAAGCAUCUUACUGGAUGUGUAAUGGAGGGUGUAGCUUUCCGUCUGUAUUGAAUUUCCAAACCCAGUCCCCGUCAUAUUCCCCAAAACCUGGGAGGAGGCAUACUGUCAGUCUAUGGGGUUCAUAGGGGUUUGCCCUACCCCUCAGUUGAACCUGUUGUCUGCAGGUUUUGACAGACAACUAUUGAAAAGGAGUCCAUAUAGUGCGCUUGUCCUGACUUCUUGAGUUAUGGAUCCUAGUGCUGUGUCUCUGUCAGGUUUUGGCUCCAGGUAACUGCUCUUCAGUUGAGCCUCUAUCAGGUUCUUGACAGACAGCCACUAAUAAGAGAACUUCAUGGAGGUGUAGUGGAAGUGGUGGCUAUCCAGCCUGCUGGAUGUCCUAGGCUUUAGUCCAUGUCAUUUUCCCCUUGGGAGGGGACAUCCUGACAGUCCAGCAAAGUCCAAAGGGUCUACUGUAUAAUCGGCCUCUCAGCUGCACCUGUAGCAAAUCCCAGAUGAUGACAGACAACCAGUUGAAAGACACCUUUUCCAGUAAUCAUUUUUCUUAUAGUUCUGAUGCUUCAAGCCCGGAACAGAGACGCCAGUGGCGCUUCAGUGACAAAUAGCAACCAAUGAAAAGGUCGGCAUGGAUGCAUCUAGCAUCCCUCAGGUGCCUCCCAAAAAGGCUAAAGAAAUGAGACCUUAUUGUUGUUCCUGGGAUAGUUCAGAGAGUUGUUUUCGAUUUAUUGUUCUCCCAGAGUCCAUUUUUCUCAGUCUGAGUGCCCAAUGGCAUGAUAUACAAGACUUAAGGACGGUUCUCGGGUUCCUGAAUGCCCUAUAGCACCAGUGCACCCAUUAGCAUCAGAGCUCCCAUAGGUGCCAGAGAGCCCACUGGCACCAGAGCAUCCAUUGGCACCAGAGCACCCAUUGCCGUUAGAAUGCUCAGUAGUUUGCAGGCAACUGGAGGUUUGGGGACAAACAGUAGUGAACAAGCUCCCAGAGUUUAGUGAGCGCCCAGUAGUGGAGCAUACUGCUUCUUCUGAGCCCCCAUCAAAGCCCUGGCAUCCAUUUGCACCAGCACUUACUUCAUCUGCUUCUUCAAGUGCUACUUUGACAGUACUGGACCCAGCUUAGGCUCCCAUCCAACAGUGUUUGGAUGUCAUUUUAGGUUUUUCUCAAACCUUCCACUGUCUCUAAUGCAGUAGAGGCUCCUUUGUUGCCUGGUUGUCAGCAGGAGAAGAGAGUCAAAUCUGGAUGAGGCUUCACCUCCUACUGUUUAUGCUUCCCUUCGUUUCCUUUUGGAGAACUUCCCAGCCUUCCUAGUGAGUAGUUUAUCCUCAGAUACAGUUAAAUUACCCAAUGUGGUGCUAUCUACUUUGUAGACUGCUGGUUAGCGGACAAAAGAGAGCAAGGGAAGGCUGCCUUCUGUUUCCCUCUGUACUUAUUGAAGAGAAAAACUCAUAUUACACCAUGGUAGAAG